AUGGCAGUAGUUCAAAUGGUAGAACGCCUGUCUCCAAAACAGGAAGUUGUAGGUUCGAGUCCUGCCUGCUAUGC
RNAcentral lists this transfer RNA (74 nucleotides) under Bacteroidetes bacterium ADurb.BinA104. RNAcentral describes it as "tRNA-Trp". It matches the Rfam family "tRNA". Rfam says of the family: Transfer RNA (tRNA) molecules are approximately 80 nucleotides in length. Their secondary structure includes four short double-helical elements and three loops (D, anti-codon, and T loops). The record is from RNAcentral. Lineage: Bacteria; Pseudomonadati; Bacteroidota.